UGCGUAGGCGGCGGAGUAAGUCUGGUGUGAAAUCUCGGGGCUCAACCCCGAAACUGCACUUGAUACUGCUUCGCUCGAGUACUGGAGAGGAGACUGGAAUUUACGGUGUAGCAGUGAAAUGCGUAGAUAUCGUAAGGAAGACCAGUGGCGAAGGCGAGUCUCUGGACAGUUACUGACGCUGAGGACAGGCCAGGGGGAGCGAAACG
Molecule: ribosomal RNA, 206 nt
Filed under: uncultured bacterium
Lineage: Bacteria
Description: partial 16S ribosomal RNA
Rfam family: Bacterial small subunit ribosomal RNA
Source: RNAcentral